RNAcentral lists this ribosomal RNA (497 nucleotides) under uncultured bacterium. Its description in RNAcentral is "partial 16S ribosomal RNA". It matches the Rfam family "Bacterial small subunit ribosomal RNA", at positions 28 to 507 of the family's 1533-position model. The record is from RNAcentral.
GAUGAACGCUGGCGGCGUGCCUAAUACAUGCCAGUCGAGCGAACAGGCGAGGAGCUUGCUCCUCUGACGUUAGCGGCGGACGGGUGAGUAACACGUGGAUAACCUACCUAUAAGACUGGGAUAACUUCGGGAAACCGGAGCUAAUACCGGAUAAUAUAUUGAACCGCAUGGUUCAAUAGUGAAAGACGGUUUUGCUGUCACUUAUAGAUGGAUCCGCGCCGCAUUAGCUAGUUGGUAAGGUAACGGCUUGCCAAGGCAACGAUGCGUAGCCGACCUGAGAGAGUGAUAGGCGACACUGGAACUGAGACACGGACCAGACUACUAAGGGAGAGAGCAGAAGGGAAUGUUACGCAAUGGGCGAAAGCAUGACGGAGCAACGGCGAGUGAGAGAUGAAGGUCUUCGGAGCGUAAAAAUCUGUUAUGAGGGAAGAACAAAUGUGUAAGUAACUAUGCACGUCGUGACGGUACCUAAUCAGAAAGCCACGGCUAACUACGUG